This 230-nucleotide ribosomal RNA is filed under the name uncultured microorganism. RNAcentral's name for it is "partial 16S ribosomal RNA". It matches the Rfam family "Bacterial small subunit ribosomal RNA", at positions 524 to 754 of the family's 1533-position model. The record is from RNAcentral.
UACGUAGGGGGCGAGCGUUGUCCGGAAUUAUUGGGCGUAAAGGGCGCGUAGGCGGCCAUUUAAGUCUGGUGUGAAAGUGCGGGGCUUAACCCCGUAAAGCAUUGGAAACUGGAUGGCUUGAGGACAGGAGAGGAAAGUGGAAUUCCUAGUGUAGCGGUGAAAUGCGUAGAUAUUAGGAGGAACACCAGUGGCGAAGGCGACUUUCUGGACUGUAACUGACGCUGAGGCGC